This 249-nucleotide unclassified non-coding RNA is filed under the name uncultured fungus. RNAcentral's name for it is "partial contains 5.8S ribosomal RNA, internal transcribed spacer 2, and large subunit ribosomal RNA". Lineage: Eukaryota; Fungi. The record is from RNAcentral.
AACGCACAUUGCGCCCCUUGGUAUUCCAUGGGGCAUGCCUGUUCGAGCGUCAUUUGUACCUUCAAGCUCUGCUUGGUGUUGGGUGUUUGUCCAUGCCUCUCUGGGGUAGGACUCGCCUUAAAGUAAUUGGCAGCCAGUAUUUUGGUUUGAAGCGCAGCACAAGUCGCGAUUCAAGCUUGAAUAAUAGCUUCCAUUAAGUUAUAUAUCACUUUUGACCUCGGAUCAGGUAGGGAUACCCGCUGAACUUAA